Molecule: ribosomal RNA, 1971 nt
Filed under: Triticum aestivum (bread wheat)
Lineage: Eukaryota; Viridiplantae; Streptophyta; Magnoliopsida; Poales; Poaceae
Description: partial small subunit ribosomal RNA
Source: RNAcentral
GUGAAGGUUUAUGGCAAGGAGAGGAGAAGUGGUCGUUCGGGUUCUGCGAGAAUGACAAGUGCAGGUAACUUGGAAAUUCCGGAUUUCGGUCUUCAUAUUUACAUUCGAGAGGAAAAGAAGUGUUGCACGGUCAUAUUUUAUUUCAGAGUUAAUAUUCCAUAAUUGUAUGAUGAACUGAACCUGAACAUUGAAAGUGGCACUUGCAAUACACUAAUUUUCAGUUUUGCUUGAUACUUUAUGAAAGAAUAUGUUGGCGGACAUGGCAAUACAGUUUCAUGUCGACAACCACUCCAACUGGAGUAUCCGUGGAAGUAAGAAUAUAGUAAACUGUCUGGGCCUCUGGUUGUAGUUAGUGUCAUCUAUAAUAUGCUUACGCUUCAUAUAUCAACUAAUUAAAUGUUGCACUGUUGAUCUAAAAAAAAGUAGCACUGUAUGUAAGUAUUGCAGGUUCAUGUACACUAUUGCUUGAUAAAUUGGUGGCAAAUAGCUGUGUGAGCUUCAUUUGGUCAGGUAUUUUUUUGAUAUCCUACUUUCAUCUGGUAUAACUGCAUGGGAUGUAAUUGGUUACUGCAUUUUGCAUGACAUACUUUAUUACUGUAUAUAUUACUUGUAUUUUUUUUCCUUAUUGCUUCUGUGCUAUUGAUUCCGGCACAGCAAAUUUUAUUUUGUUCUCUGGCGCAAAACCUUAACUUGACCUCUUGAUUUAUCAAGCUAUCCAGCUACUGUCUUAUAUAUUAUCACACAAGAUUUCAUCAGACCCCGAUGGUUUUAGUUUGUCAUGAUGGUUGGCGAAGUAGCUUCUGACCAAGCUAUACUAUGAUGAGAGUAAAGUCAACAUUUUUGUUGUUGCAAGGAUCACAGAGAAAGGAAUCACUAUUCAAUAGACAGUAGAUUGAUCUUUUGUAGCAUCUUUCUUAUAAAUUAGUUUGGUUCAUAAUCAGUUCCUCUUUCCAGGUUCUUUCGACUGCAUGAUACAUGAGACAUGGAUUCCUAAGGAUUGUUCAAGUGCGUUCAGUGUUAACGGAUGGAAUACAGAAUAGCCUUGACCACAAUGAGCAGAAGAAGUACAAUAUGGGCGACUGCAGGUACCUCCCCAGGGACACAGCUACUACCGUCACUGUUGAAAGAAUAACAGUUGUGCUGGAAGGUCCUUCUUGCUUGCUGUGUCUGCCUUCUCAUCUUAUUUAUGAUCGUUUAUGUGAAGAAGCAACAGCAACUUGAUUUGUUUUCUUGUGUAGUAAUAUGUGAGUUGCAUUUGCAGACAUAUAUGGGUCAAGUCACUCUCUGUUAGUUAGAUGUUAUUAGUGUUUUUCUAUCAGACAUGGUUCUGCAAUGGGCUUGACUGCCUAAGUCUCACUCAGAUUUUAGACUUGAUUAAUAACUGCUUCCUUCCAUUAAGAUGUGAGGUCCUGAUCCCAAUGACAGAGCAUCAUCGCUGAACUAAUGUUCAUGAGAGUUCACUGUUUGAUUUUGUUGAACCAUGCAAGUUCAAAAUUUGAUGAAGCCAUGCAACUGGUAGAUGCUUCAACAAGGCAUAUAUUUGCAGUGUUCGGUAAGUACCGUGUUCCUUCUGUACUCGAUAAAUUAGUGUUGUAUUUGCCUGGUAUGAGGAAGAUAGUGCAAUGCCGACAGAUAGAGUUGUAUUUGCCGGGUAUUAGUUUACAAGUGUUGUGUCGAAAGCAGGCUGAGGAGAACACAGAUGCACGGCCAGCUGCGCGGAUUAGGCGAUGGAACCAAUAACAGGAGAAAGGACGGAAAAUAGGAAGGAGAUGGUGAGAUUGGCAUUGGGCAGUCGUUUGCAAAUGUUUCAUGGUCGGAUUAGGCCCAGCUAAUCAAUUCUUUUUGGGCAGCACUAGAGAAUUGAUGAAUGCAUGCUGUACAAUUUUCUAUGAUCUUCUCUGAUUUACUAACAAAUGUGAAAUGUUGAUCAACUAAUAUUUGAGAUGUAAAUUGAUAUUCAAUUGUAGAAAU